GAAGGUAGGUGAGGGGUUACGUAGGAGGAGUAGGGGUCGGCCGCCGAGCUGGAGAGCACGGGAGCGGCGGUAGUUGGAGAGGACGUGAGUGUGCGGUCGGCGGCUAGAGGGCGCGGGAGUGGGUAAUCGUCGGCUUCAGCGAGAGGGGGCGUUCAGCGGCACGAGCCCUAAAUACCGACGAGGAAGCGGAGCGGGUAGAUCUAGGCGGUAGCGGAGGGAGGGAACGACUACAAGUAGAAUAGAUAAAUACGUCCCCCGAGCAGGAAGGCACCACGAGUCGGUGGCAGGCCAAACCUCCCCCUUAUCCUCUGGGGGUUGCUUUUGCUCACACGAUCGCCACCUGUGUUCCUACGCGCCACUAACACGGUCCAGGUACGAGGUCAAGAAGACAACCUUGAUCCUCCACGUCUAUUUAUUCUCAACAACCGUCGUCGUUGGAUGUGUACACCUUUGUCACCAAUACCGUCGAGUUUCCCUUCAAGACAGACGAUCUGUCGUUGAGUGUUGAAUCACCGCCGAGUUACGAUAAGGAGUACAACGUUGGAAAAGGACAUCUUAGUUUUCCUCAAUCUACCUUCUUUAACGUCCUCCUUACCAUAAGGGCCGCACUGUAAGUUUUCGUCAGUUCUACCACUCCAAAUCUUGCCUCCUCGAGGCGCCUUAAUACCUAUCUUUUAUAGGUAUUGUACAGACAGUAACGGUACAGCUGGCACGGGAAACUAAGAUGUUCGGCGUUUCCUCGUUUCACAUCUUUUAUACAGGUAACAACAACUUAACCUCCCUAACAGUGGUUCAAUCACGAAGUCUAACAAAGAUAAAAUCUCGUUCUUCGGUUUA
Molecule: ribosomal RNA, 837 nt
Filed under: Triticum aestivum (bread wheat)
Lineage: Eukaryota; Viridiplantae; Streptophyta; Magnoliopsida; Poales; Poaceae
Description: partial small subunit ribosomal RNA
Source: RNAcentral